CAAGUCGCGAGGCUUGGGCGAGAAGAAGGGAUAGCUAAAGCACAGCCUGACGAACAGGAACCUAAUACCAAGGCGCAUACGGCGGAUAAGUGGACUAUAAGUCACGAAGUCCAAAAGGUAGUCGUAACCUGUAUGCGUAGAUUAGGCAGGUAGAUGAGGAAAGAAUGAC
This is a non-coding RNA of Mogibacterium pumilum, 169 nucleotides long. The record is from Rfam. NCBI's taxonomy places the organism in Bacteria, Bacillati, Bacillota, Clostridia, Peptostreptococcales, Anaerovoracaceae.